Molecule: ribosomal RNA, 253 nt
Filed under: uncultured bacterium
Lineage: Bacteria
Description: partial 16S ribosomal RNA
Rfam family: Bacterial small subunit ribosomal RNA
Source: RNAcentral
UACGAAGGGGGCUAGCGUUGCUCGGAAUUACUGGGCGUAAAGCGCACGUAGGCGGAUACUUAAGUCAGGGGUGAAAUCCCGGGGCUCAACCCCGGAACUGCCUUUGAUACUGGGUAUCUCGAGUCCGGAAGAGGUGAGUGGAAUUCCGAGUGUAGAGGUGAAAUUCGUAGAUAUUCGGAGGAACACCAGUGGCGAAGGCGGCCCGCUGGGCAGUGGCUGACGCUGAAGCGCGACAGUGUGGGGAGCAAACAGG